AUACCAAGUGAUUAAGUUAUAUUUCUAGGUAAAAAGACAGUUAGGCUUAAAAUAUAAGUUUAUUGACCAUUUAUGUAAAAGUAAAAUUUGUAUAUAAAUAGCUAAUCUAAUAAUAACUAACUUAUUGCUGAGGCUGUGAUAGUCUUGAGGGAAACUGGGAUUAGAUACCCCAUUAUUCUUGACUGUAAAUAUAAUUAAAUUUACCAGAGUACUAUGAAUAGUAAAAAUUUAAAACUCAAAGGGCUUGGCGGUGUUUUAGACCUAUCAGGGGAACCUGUCUCAUAAUCGACAAUCCACGUUGUACCUAACCUUAUUUUGUAUUCAGUUUGUAUACCGUCGUCGUCAGGUAACUUUUAAAAACAUAGAAGUUAGCAGUAAUAAUUUUUAAAUUUAGACGUCAGAUCAAGGUGCAGCCUAUAAUAAGGAGAGGAUGGGUUACAAUUAUUAAAGUUAUAAUUACGGAAGUUCAAAUGAAAUUUUGUUCAUAAGGAGGACUUGAAAGUAAAUUAAAUAUAUAAAUAUAUUGAAUAAGGCUCUG
Molecule: ribosomal RNA, 538 nt
Filed under: Naytia johni
Lineage: Eukaryota; Metazoa; Mollusca; Gastropoda; Neogastropoda; Nassariidae
Description: partial 12S ribosomal RNA
Rfam family: Bacterial small subunit ribosomal RNA
Source: RNAcentral